Molecule: ribosomal RNA, 255 nt
Filed under: uncultured bacterium
Lineage: Bacteria
Description: partial 16S ribosomal RNA
Rfam family: Bacterial small subunit ribosomal RNA
Source: RNAcentral
UACGUAGGGGGCAAGCGUUGUCCGGAAUCAUUGGGCGUAAAGAGCGCGUAGGCGGCCCAGUAAGUCCGCUCUGAAAGUCAGGGGCUCAACCCCUGGAUGCGGGUGGAUACUGCUGGGCUAGAGUCCGGAAGAGGCGAGUGGAAUUCCUGGUGUAGCGGUGAAAUGCGCAGAUAUCAGGAGGAACACCGAUGGCGAAGGCAGCUCGCUGGGACGGUACUGACGCUGAGGCGGCGAAAGCCAGGGGAGCAAACGGGG